RNAcentral lists this ribosomal RNA (463 nucleotides) under uncultured Alphaproteobacteria bacterium. RNAcentral's name for it is "bacterial SSU rRNA". It matches the Rfam family "Bacterial small subunit ribosomal RNA", at positions 224 to 704 of the family's 1533-position model. The record is from RNAcentral. Lineage: Bacteria; Pseudomonadati; Pseudomonadota; Alphaproteobacteria.
GAACGGCCCGCGUCUGAUUAGCUAGUUGGUGAGGUAAUGGCUCACCAAGGCGACGAUCAGUAGCUGGUCUGAGAGGAUGGCCAGCCUCACUGGGACUGAGACACGGCCCAGACUCCUACGGGAGGCAGCAGUGGGGAAUAUUGGACAAUGGGCGCAAGCCUGAUCCGGCCAUGCCGCGUGGAUGAUGAAGGCCCUAGGGUUGUAAAGUCCUUUUAACGGGGAAGAUAAUGACGGUACCCGUAGAAUAAGCCCCGGCUAACUUCGUGCCAGCAGCCGCGGUAAUACGAAGGGGGCUAGCGUUCCUCGGAAUUACUGGGCGUAAAGCGCACGUAGGCGGUCUUUUAAGUCGGGGGUGAAAUCCUGGAGCUCAACUCCAGAACUGCCUUCGAUACUGGAAGACUUGAGUCCGGGAGAGGUGAGUGGAACUGCGAGUGUAGAGGUGAAAUUCGUAGAUAUUCGCAAG